AGCAGCCGCGGUAAUUCCAGCUCCAAUAGCGUAUAUUAAAGUUGUUGCAGUUAAAAAGCUCGUAGUUGAAUUUCGGGAUUGACGUGAUGGUCGUGCCUUAAGGGGCAUGAACUGUCGCAGUUGAUUUCUCACCUUCUGGAGAAGCUUGAUGUCCUUAAUUGGGUGUCAUGUGGAACCAGGACCUUUACCUUGAAAAAUUAGAGUGUUUAAAGCAGGCAUUUUGCUCGAAUACAUUAGCAUGGAAUAAUAGAAUAGGACGGCAUGGUUCUAUUUUGUUGGUUUCUAGGAUCACCGUAAUGAUUAAUAGGGAUAGUUGGGGGCAUUAGUAUUCAAUUGUCAGAGGUGAAAUUCUUGGAUUUAUUGAAGACUAACUACUGCGAAAGCAUUUGCCAAGGAUGUUUUCAUUAAUCAGGAACGAAAGUUAGGGGAUCGAAGACGAUCAGAUACCGUCGUAGUCUUAACCAUAAACUAUGCCGACUAGGAAUCAGACGAUGUUAAUUUUUAAUGACUUCG
This 513-nucleotide ribosomal RNA is filed under the name uncultured Entrophospora. Its description in RNAcentral is "SSU rRNA". It matches the Rfam family "Eukaryotic small subunit ribosomal RNA", at positions 569 to 1078 of the family's 1831-position model. Lineage: Eukaryota; Fungi; Glomeromycota; Glomeromycetes; Entrophosporales; Entrophosporaceae. The record is from RNAcentral.